CACGUAGGGCGCGAGCGUUGUCCGGAAUUAUUGGGCGUAAAGAGCUCGUAGGCGGCCUGUUGCGUCCGCUGUGAAAGCCCGGGGCCUAACCCCGGGUCUGCAGUGGAUACGGGCAGGCUAGAGGUAGGUAGGGGAGAAUGGAAUUCCCGGUGUAGCGGUGAAAUGCGCAGAUAUCGGGAGGAACACCGGUGGCGAAGGCGGUUCUCUGGGCCUUACCUGACGCUGAGGAGCGAAAGCGUGGGGAGCGAACAGG
RNAcentral lists this ribosomal RNA (253 nucleotides) under uncultured bacterium. RNAcentral's name for it is "partial 16S ribosomal RNA". It matches the Rfam family "Bacterial small subunit ribosomal RNA", at positions 524 to 776 of the family's 1533-position model. The record is from RNAcentral.